This is a long non-coding RNA of Dromaius novaehollandiae (emu), 871 nucleotides long. RefSeq lists it as uncharacterized. The record is from RefSeq and is a predicted model, not a curated record. The transcript is spliced from 3 exons. Lineage: Eukaryota; Metazoa; Chordata; Aves; Casuariiformes; Dromaiidae.
GCUUACUUUGGCCUCCAGUAAGGCCAUGAUCUAGGACCUGAGAGGCCUCAGACUGGGGUAGAGCAGCCCUGAACACUGCCCUGUUUGUACUCCAGGAAAGGCGCUUUCAUGGCUGUCCUGUUGUGGCUGCCAUGUGUUAGGAGCAGAUGAAAGAGCUGAUGGUUUUUUUUUCCUUUCCACACUUCACGCAGUUCAUUCCUCUUGGGUACGAGCCACAGUCAGCCUGCUCCUUCCAUGGAGGACUCUCCAAACAGAGGAGGACGUCAGGGAUCCCGCUGUACCCCCACCUUUCCUCCAGAGAAGUGCAGAGCAGCAGGCUUUCAUCUCUCCACCCCAACAUCCCUGGAGCCCCUGCUGUUGUCUGCAAUGCGUGCAUCAUAGCAGAGGGGUUUUGCACCAGAUGGCCAUGCUUCCCAGCACCACUGUUUGUUCCUACACCGUGAACCUGCUGAGAGUCCUCCACCUUGCUCUACACCCUGGAGAAUGCUGGGACCAGGAGGCACCACUGCAGUGAAAGCGCACCAGGAAACACCAUUUGCAGGGCCACAUGCUGUACCCAACCUGGGACACUUGGGCUGCAGGUACCUUCCACACCACUCUCUCCUGUGCGGUUCAUGUUUCCACAUUAUAGCACUGAAUGGGCUGAGCUGCUGUCUGACCCUACCCCCAAACCCCAGCUUCUCUACAGUGUCUGGACUCCCCCUUACAGUCCUAUGGGGCCUCUUUUUGCCCUCUUGCUGCCUUUAUGGCCAGGCUAGGGGCCCUCUCCUUUUGCUGCCAGGACCCUAGGUAGAUGGUUAUUAGCACCAUGUGGAGCAAUCAUGGUGUUGCCUAAAUCCCCAGCUCGGAGUGAAGAACCCAGGGCCAGACC